Molecule: unclassified non-coding RNA, 394 nt
Filed under: Hevea brasiliensis (rubber tree)
Lineage: Eukaryota; Viridiplantae; Streptophyta; Magnoliopsida; Malpighiales; Euphorbiaceae
Source: RNAcentral
CUAAGUUAUUGUUGACUUGGGUCUCCUUCUUCAGGCAUCUGGUUGUGUUCUGGGUCCCUUACGGUGCUUCUUUUAGCCUCUCUUCCCCUGAUGAAGUUACAGCUAGGGAUCUGCAAUGUUGCUCACCCAAUACCUUAAAUUUGUAGGGUUUGUCUCCAUGGUCUGCUUAUUUGGGGUGUUGUUUUGGGUACUGUUUCAAUAGGCGAUACGACCAUUUUUUUGGUUCCAUCAAUGCUUUAGCCUAAUAUUCUCCUCACUGGUGCCAAUCUGGCAAGUCAAGUUGUGGCACACAAGCUUCUCUGCUCAAUUUAGGCAUGGAGCAUUAUGCUCAUCUGAGCAACACGUAUUUAAGCAUGUAUCCAUCUGAUUAAUUUGAACCCUGAUUUUAGGUUGG